RNAcentral lists this ribosomal RNA (305 nucleotides) under uncultured bacterium. Its description in RNAcentral is "bacterial SSU rRNA". It matches the Rfam family "Bacterial small subunit ribosomal RNA", at positions 333 to 655 of the family's 1533-position model. The record is from RNAcentral.
AGGAACCUACGGGGCGCAGCAGUGGGGGAUAUUGCAUAAUGGGGGAAACCCUGAUGCAGCGACGCCGCGUGAGCGAUGAAGUAGUUCGGUAUGUAAAUCUCUAUCAGCAGGGAAGAAAAUGACGGUACCUGACUAAGAAGCCCCGGCUAACUACGUGCCAGCAGCCGCGGUAAUACGUAGGGGGCAAGCGUUAUCCGGAUUUACUGGGUGUAAAGGGAACGUAGACGGCAGUGCAAGUCUGAAGUGAAAGGCAAGGGCUCAACCCUUGGACUGCUUUGGAAACUGUGCUGCUCGAGUGUCGGAGG